UAUAGAUGGAUCCGCGCUGCAUUAGCUAGUUGGUAAGGUAACGGCUUACCAAGGCAACGAUGCAUAGCCGACCUGAGAGGGUGAUCGGCCACACUGGAACUGAGACACGGUCCAGACUCCUACGGGAGGCAGCAGUAGGGAAUCUUCCGCAAUGGGCGAAAGCCUGACGGAGCAACGCCGCGUGAGUGAUGAAGGUCUUCGGAUCGUAAAACUCUGUUAUUAGGGAAGAACAUAUGUGUAAGUAACUGUGCACAUCUUGACGGUACCUAAUCAGAAAGCCA
This 281-nucleotide ribosomal RNA is filed under the name Staphylococcus aureus. RNAcentral describes it as "partial 16S ribosomal RNA". It matches the Rfam family "Bacterial small subunit ribosomal RNA", at positions 220 to 493 of the family's 1533-position model. The record is from RNAcentral. Lineage: Bacteria; Bacillati; Bacillota; Bacilli; Caryophanales; Staphylococcaceae.